ACUCGCAGAGAGUCGGAGACUU
RNAcentral lists this microRNA (22 nucleotides) under Tetraodon nigroviridis (spotted green pufferfish). RNAcentral's name for it is "Tni-Novel-1_3p (mature (guide))". Lineage: Eukaryota; Metazoa; Chordata; Actinopteri; Tetraodontiformes; Tetraodontidae. The record is from RNAcentral.